Pan troglodytes (chimpanzee) is the source of this 3135-nucleotide long non-coding RNA. RefSeq lists it as uncharacterized. The record is from RefSeq and is a predicted model, not a curated record. Lineage: Eukaryota; Metazoa; Chordata; Mammalia; Primates; Hominidae. The transcript is spliced from 3 exons.
UAUUUCAAUAAAACAAGGGAAACAGUGUAGUAUAAUAAAAGGAACAUUAUUAGCCUUAUAUGCAGCCUGGUAGACCUGAGUUUAAAUCUCAGCUUUGUUGCUCACUGAGAUGUUGAGCAAGUCACUUUUAAACUCUCUGGGUCUCAGUUUCUUCACGUGGAGACAAUAGCUAUCUUUGAAGGCUUGUAUCAAAAGAGAUGCUGUCAGUCAGUCACCCGGAACCUAUUAGGUACUCAACAAAGAUUGGUUUCCUUUCCUUCUUCCUCUCCUCCGAGCUUCCUGACUUGCAGAAAAUAAUUUCUUGGUCAAUGUUUGUAAAAGGCUCAAAAAUUCACCCAAACUUUCCAAACAACCCUUUAACAAGCUUCCCCAUAAAAGCAUCUAGAACAGAGGCUUCAUUUGCUGUAACCAGCCUAAGGAUUUGGCAAUAGAGAAGUUAACCGAGUACCAUGUUUUCGAGCAAUGGUUUUAAAGUGGCUAGGAGGUCAAGUCACAAAUAAUCUAAGGUCUCUUCCAGCUCUAAAAUUCUAUGGUUCUGUGAAAUUGAGGCAGUAGCUGCAAACCAAGGCAGGCUUGUAUGACUCAAAGAAUUGCAUGUGCUGGGCUGGCUGCUCAGCAUAUUGAGGAUUUGAUUAAAAACUCACUACAUUCACACUUUAGCUUUGGGAUUAGCAGAUCAAAUAAAUGCAUGUUACUGCUUUGUCAGAUACAGCAAAGUCGUUUUUGUCUGCUAGCAUAUUUAAUGGGGGGAAUACACAAUAGCUAAAUAGAAUAGCAAACAAACAGUCCAUGGAGAGGAGAACAGGGUGUCAUCACCAGCCCAGUUCCCUGACCUCUUCAUUGCUGAUCGACAUGGUCUAUGUGAGAAAAUUUAGCUAUAUGUAAAUGUAGACAACUUGGUGAAAAAUCUAUAAGGGUAUCUAAUUCUGAAACUAAGAACUUUCAAGAAAAUCCGAACAAGAAUGCUUAGGUAAAAUUGAUUUUAAUUUCUCUGAGAUCUCAUUAAUUUCCAUUUAGAUGGAUUUUUAAAAAUUAAGUUGUAGGGCACUUGGUUUUGCAAUGCUAAGCAUUGUUUGACACAACUUAUUUUUAGCGUCUAUUUUAACAAGAGAAAUGAAAUGUAACCACUCCAGGAUAUGGAAAUACCUCUUGUAAGGAGUGUGUGGUGUGUGUGUGUGUGUGUUUGUGUGUGUGCAUGUGUGUAUGCCUGUGUGUUUUCUUCGAGAAGAUCAUUUUUUUCCCCCUCUGCUUUGGGAGUUUAUUCUAUUAAUAGAAAAUACUGCAAGUUUUAAAUAUCUUUUCAUUCAGUGGAAACAUGGAUUCAAUCCAGUGGAAACAUGGAUUCAAUCAUCCUUCCUUUUCACACUGGGAGUCAGGGAGAGAGCCUGGGUAAUUAAGUAACAAGAGCACAGAUUCCUAAAGACACUUAACAAACAAGAUAUUCUUGCCUAGAGGAGUAACAGUUACAAUGACUGCUGCAAAGACAAACAUGUUUUCAGUACCUACUAUGUGCCAGGUUCUGGCUUUGACACUUGUGAAGGGGUUAAAAUCCUGGUGCUGUAUAAAUGUCCCCAGAUGAUAUUCUAAUUUAAGGAAGAAACAAUAUAUAUUUAGGAUAAAGUGGAGUCUCCUACUCAAACCUGAGCAGGUAAGAGAUCUAAAUUAGGUUAAGCAGCACCGAAGAGUAUUCAAAAUUAGUGAGAAUGGCACUUACUUAAUUGUAUCUGAAUUUUUAUCUUUUGGAAUAUUCACUCAUUCAGCAAAUUUUUAUAGAGUGACUACUGAAGAAGAACCGUGAGAGUAUAAACAAGCGACUAAAAUGUUUCUGUUUUUCAUUACAGUCUAGAAGGGCAGAAUAUAUAUUCUUGCUUUAAUUGAAUGCUGUAUAUAAUUAUUAAUGUUAUAAUUUUUACAACUAAAUUUUCAUAGAUAUGUAUCUAAAAAAACUACUUGAUUUUAUGUAAGAAAGCUACUUGAUAAUUUCAACCAUACAAAAAUAAAACCACCAAAAUAUAAAAUAUCAAUCAAUCAGUCAAAGUGGAAGUAGAAAAAAAAACUGCAAGAGUGUGCACUAAAAUAUUCAUAGUAAUAUUUUUGUGAUGGUGGAAACAUGGUAAUUUGGGUUUUCAUUCUUUUUUUCUUAUUUUUUAAGUCUAAACCUAAAUUUUUUAAUACUUUCAUUAUUUAAAAUAUGAUAAUCAUUAAGAAGACAGAGAUGAAGAAAAGAAGGAAGUGGAGGCAAUGAGGAACAGAGAGAAGGAAGGAAGGAAAUCAUGCUUGAAAGAAGUUGUGGAACAUGUCAAGUUUUUUUCCGGAUGUGGCGGAGAUUAUUCAGCUACAAUGAAGCCAGAUUAAGAUUUCGGGAAAAUGAACAGAUCUCUACAAUGUUCUCCAAAGAGAUUGUUUUGCUUGCCAAUAAAAAGAGACACCUGGGAGCACCAUACUCUCUCCUAUUCCUCUGGGUAUCAUAUUUCCUUAUGACACCUGAAACUCUGAUGCCUUCUGGGUCCAUGAAAGCAGUGAGAUGAGCACAGGAAACCACGCUGAGGAUGGUUGAGCAAAAAGGUUACAUUGAGCCACUGGAUUAACCUGCCCAGAAACAGGAUAUCUUCAGAUUUCUUGUUAAGUAAGAAAAUGUAAUUUUGUUGAUUCUAAGUUACACUUUCUUUUGUUAGUUCAACAUCUCUGAAAUCAGAACAUAUUUUGCCAUGGUAAUAUCUUACCAUCACUGUUGGCCAGAGGCCAUCCUUGCAUAGGUGUCAUUGCCUAUGCAUGUGUCAACUUGAUUGCUAUUCUCUGUGAUAUGACUGACAACUGCAGCCCUUUGACAGUUCAGUCGACAAACCAUUGAAGAUUAUUAGGGUAAGAAAUACUGCUUUCUGUCUGAAAACUUUCCAGUGACAUCUUCUGAAAAGACAAAGAAAGUAUCAGCAUCAAAAUUUGCAUAAUAGUCUGUGCUUAGAAAGAAAUCCAAGUGGCAAUAGUAGGUCAAUCUUUUAAGAAAUGUUGCAUCACCAAUACUUUUGAUAUUACAGAGGAUGAUAUUGGGAGGAAAAAGCAUGAAUAUUUAUGGCUCUGAAUUUUAAAAGUGAGUUUGAAGAGUCAGACUCUGAAAGUGAAGACAUUUUAAAACCA